UGCAGCUGCAGGAGUCAGGCCCUGGACUGGUGAAGCCCUCACAGACCCUCUCUCUCACCUGCUCUGUCUCUGGUUACUCCAUCACCAGUGGUUAUGACUGGUGCUGGAUCCGCCAGCUCCCAGGGAGGGGGCUGGAGUGGAUUGGGUACAUAAGUAGUAGUGGAAGUGCUUACUACAGCCCAUCCCUCAAGAGCCGCGCCUCCAUCUCCAGAGACACAUCCAAGAACCAGUUCUCCCUGCAGCUGAGUUCCAUGACCACUGAAGACACAGCUGUGCAUUACUGUGCGAGAGACACAAAAAAAUGGGAAGGACUU
Long non-coding RNA from Phyllostomus discolor (pale spear-nosed bat), 314 nucleotides. RefSeq lists it as uncharacterized. The record is from RefSeq and is a predicted model, not a curated record. NCBI's taxonomy places the organism in Eukaryota, Metazoa, Chordata, Mammalia, Chiroptera, Phyllostomidae. The transcript has 3 exons.